RNAcentral lists this ribosomal RNA (453 nucleotides) under uncultured bacterium. RNAcentral describes it as "bacterial SSU rRNA". It matches the Rfam family "Bacterial small subunit ribosomal RNA", at positions 340 to 786 of the family's 1533-position model. The record is from RNAcentral.
UACGGAAGGCAGCAGUGGGGAAUAUUGCACAAUGGGCGCAAGCUUGAUGCAGCCAUGCCGCGUGUAUGAAAAAGGCCUUCGGGUUGUAAAGUACUUUCAGUCGUGAGGAAGGUGUUAAGGUUAAUAACCUUAGCAAUUGACGUUAGCGACAGAAGAAGCACCGGCUAACUCCGUGCCAGCAGCCGCGGUAAUACGGAGGGUGCGAGCGUUAAUCGGAAUUACUGGGCGUAAAGGGCACGCAGGCGGUUAAUUAAGUUGGAUGUGAAAUCCCCGGGCUUAACCUGGGAAUGGCAUUCAAGACUGGUUAGCUAGAGUCUUGUAGAGGGGGUAGAAUUCCAUGUGUAGCGGUGAAAUGCGUAGAGAUGUGGAGGAAUACCGGUGGCGAAGGCGGCCCCUGGACAAAGACUGACGCUCAUGUGCGAAAGCGUGGGGAGCAAACAGGGAUUAGAUACC